UGAAAUCCAUAUCUUCUCUCAAAUGCUCUCAAACCUGUCCCUAGUCGGACUUCUCCGUCACUCAUCUAUGGCUAUCAUGGUGGUUUCUUACCAUACCCAGGCCUUUAGUAGCCUCUCUCGCGAUGGUAUUGCCAUCUCUAGGGUCCUCAAGGGACUAGGGUUAAUGGCUUGCAUCAAUGGCCCCUUUCUCGCAUGUUUCAGGCUGUUCCAGUGUGAUUCUGAGUAAGAUCUUCCUAACAUUGACUAUGAUUUAUGGGUUUCUAAGCAUAUUUCUUCACCUUUGUGUUGUUCUCCUUGAAACCCUAAUUCCUUUCUUCUGAACCUCUUAGAUCUGUACAGAUCUGAGAUGAUUAGACUUGUUUCAUAUGAGUUUUACAUAACCUUGUUAUUCUUUACAAAAAUCGUAGGAUUUUCGAGUGAUUUUUCAUCUUUCUCUAAAGUAUGGUUCCCUGAAAUUUAUUUUCCAAAAACGUUUGGUAAUUUUUUUAGUGUUUGAUCUUCCGCUUCUUAUGUGUUUUGACCGAUUUCGUAAGUUUUCUACAACCUUAACUCGUUUAUACUAAAAACCCUCAUUUUUGACAUUCUUUGUUUGGUUUCUGAGUACCGGUUUACUGAUUGUGUUCUUGCCUUGGUACUUGUAAUUUCUCUUUAGCCAUUUGAAUGUCUUGUGGUUUUCUUGUCCUAAUAUGCCUCUACUGAAUUUCUUAGUUCAACCUUCGCUGAUUCUAUAUGUUUGUGUUCAUCCUGACUAUUCAUGUUGAGACCUAUAUCUUUCUCCUUAAAUCAGUGUCGAUUUAACUAUUUGUUUCGUUAAAAUUAUGUGUCGAAUCCUGACUAUUCAUUUUUUACCUUAUUUUAUCUGUUAAACUUACUGACUUUUUACGUGAUUUUCUCUUUGAUUGAACCCUUGAUUAUUCUGAAGUCCUUAUUUUCUGGUUUGAUUUGAACACUUUUCCUUAACAAUUCUUUUGAUUCUUACCUCUCUACUCGCUUUAAUUGAAAUGCUUGCCUUAGUUAAUUUUCCCUUGCCUUAUUUGUUAUUUCGCUUAUUCUUACUAAUUGUUUGCUUAAUUGAAACCCCUAUGCAUUCACUCAAAUUACCUAUUUUGUACUCGAUUUCCUUCCUUAACUAUCUGUCUCCCCUAUUACCAUUAAUUAUCCCUUGAUUAAAGGGAAGACUUACUGAUUUUACAUGUGAUUGAUUCCCUGAAUUUCUCUAAUUGCUACUUAAUUGAUUCCUUAUCUUAUUUUGCUAAGCUUUUGAUUGCUAUAUAAACUUCCUCCUAUUCUCACUUAAGACACAUACAAUACUUGAGAAACUAUCACUUUACACUCUAAAAAACUCUCUCUAUGCUCUCUUUGCUACUCGUGAUCCAUGUUAAUUCUAGCCGGCUGCAAGCCAAGGCUGAGAAUUGCACACUACCUUUCUCACAACUUGUGUUUUUCAUUCUUUAACUAGGUAUGCUUCUGAUUAAUUUUUAAGAAUCAACUUAUGUGUUUAUUUACUGCUUUAGUUCAUACGGCCUAAGUCUAUUCAUGUUUCUGUUUACUGCUUAUCGAGCAUGUCUAAUAUUGCCUAUUCAAACCUGUGACUAGUAUGUUUCCGCUUUACUUGCAUGUUUGCUAUCUUGUUUAAUAUGUUUACAUAUGUAACUUAAGCAUAUUUGUACUAACUACUAUUUUUCCUAAACUCUACUUUAUAUGCCUUCAUCGUUAAUACUUGCCUAGCAUCUGAGUCUUUGCAUGUUCCGCUUCAUUCCUGCUAAGUUAAUUACUCUCCAUAUAAUGGCUUCAACUUGUUUCUGUUGUGAUCUUUGUUACAUGACUUGCAUUCUACCUACUAGUUCUAUAAGACCACCUCAAAACUCUAUGUAUCCUAUUGUCUGUGUGUUUCAUUAAGGUGUACUCUCUAUGUUCCCAACCCCUAUUCCUUUGUGUGGAAGCUGCUUGACAAAGUUACUUCCUAAAACUUAUUUGUUCUCUGUCUUGUGUUCUAAUUGCAAAUUUGUUUCUUUACACUUUUAUUCCAACUAUUUUAUCACUAAUGGUUUUCAAAAGUUCUUUUCAGUCGUAAAACCUUUCUAAUGUACUCUUCAAACCAUUAUGCUCUUCCACCUACUCUUAGAAUACUAGGGUCUACCCCUCUGAUAUGUGUACUGCCUUGAGACCCUUUAGAUCUCUCUGAACUCUGGCAUGUUAGAACUGGUCUUUCCAUACUGCACCUAAAUCAGUUGUUAUUUGAGAAGGUUCUAGGUGUGAGCACUGCACAGGAUCCUUGAGGUUCUUAGGGAACUCUGACACACCUAGACGUGGAAUUGGCUAUGAACUUUGGCAUUUGAGACUACUAGAGGCUUGGAAAUCAUUUGGGCCUACUGCAGGCUCCCUAUAGAUUACUUUUUUGUUCUAUUUAUGUAAUUUUUAUUUCAAGUCAUUGAUCUGUAAUAAUUAUUGUAAACAUCUAGUGGAGUGAUUAGUGAAAAAGAGAGGGUAGUUAUAUAUUGUGGAUAAAAUAGGGUAGAUGCCAUGCCUA
This 2530-nucleotide long non-coding RNA is filed under the name Nicotiana benthamiana. RNAcentral's name for it is "long non-coding RNA (NBEN_LNC023016)". Lineage: Eukaryota; Viridiplantae; Streptophyta; Magnoliopsida; Solanales; Solanaceae. The record is from RNAcentral.